Molecule: ribosomal RNA, 492 nt
Filed under: uncultured bacterium
Lineage: Bacteria
Description: partial 16S ribosomal RNA
Rfam family: Bacterial small subunit ribosomal RNA
Source: RNAcentral
AGUGAACGCUGGCGGUAGGCCUAACACAUGCAAGUCGAACGGCAGCACAGUAAGAGCUUGCUCUUACGGGUGGCGAGUGGCGGACGGGUGAGGAAUACAUCGGAAUCUACUUUUUCGUGGGGGAUAACGUAGGGAAACUUACGCUAAUACCGCAUACGACCUACGGGUGAAAGCAGGGGAUCUUCGGACCUUGCGCGAUUGAAUGAGCCGAUGUCGGAUUAGCUAGUUGGCGGGGUAAAGGCCCACCAAGGCGACGAUCCGUAGCUGGUCUGAGAGGAUGAACAGCCACACUGGAACUGAGACACGGUCCAGACUCCUACGGGAGGCAGCAGUGGGGAAUAUUGGACAAUAGGCGCAAGCCUGAUCCAGCCAUACCGCGUGGGUGAAGAAGGCCUUCGGGUUGUAAAGCCCUUUUGUUGGGAAAGAAAAGCAGCAGGUUAAUACCCCGCUGUUCUGACGGUACCCAAAGAAUAAGCACCGGCUAACUUCGUG